Molecule: non-coding RNA, 420 nt
Filed under: Pongo abelii (Sumatran orangutan)
Lineage: Eukaryota; Metazoa; Chordata; Mammalia; Primates; Hominidae
Source: RNAcentral
GGCUCCGAGGCCCGGGGAGCGCCGGUUUCUUGAAGGUCCUCCGUCCUGGAGCAGUAAGAUCCUUGACGUAACUAGAAAUGGCGGGACGGAGUCUCGCUCUGUCACCCAGGCUGGAAUGCAGUAGCGCAAUCUUAGUCCACUGUAACCUCUGCCUGCUGGGUCCAAGCCAUUCUCCUGCCUCAGCCUCCCGAGUAGGCAAAUGAAUAAAAGAACAUCUUUUAUUUACCCGUAUCUGCAACAUUCCUCAUAGUAUGUUUGAAGGCCCAAAUGAUGGAAUCCAAAACAAGUUUAAACUGUGUAGGUGGAAUAGCAAGGAAUGCUGGGAAACAAUGAGAAUUGACAGCCUGAAGUAGUAAGAAAAAGUUUGUUCUGUGUUCAGGAUAUUCUUCAAAGUCCUAAAAAUAAGUGGUGGAAACAAAA